Molecule: ribosomal RNA, 468 nt
Filed under: uncultured bacterium
Lineage: Bacteria
Description: partial 16S ribosomal RNA
Rfam family: Bacterial small subunit ribosomal RNA
Source: RNAcentral
GACGAACGCUGGCGGCGUGCUUAACACAUGCAAGUCGAACGGAAAGGCCCUGCUUUUGUGGGGUGCUCGAGUGGCGAACGGGUGAGUAACACGUGAGUAACCUGCCCUUGACUUUGGGAUAACUUCAGGAAACUGGGGCUAAUACCGGAUAGGAGCUCCUGCUGCAUGGUGGGGGUUGGAAAGUUUCGGCGGUUGGGGAUGGACUCGCGGCUUAUCAGCUUGUUGGUGGGGUAGUGGCUUACCAAGGCUUUGACGGGUAGCCGGCCUGAGAGGGUGACCGGCGACAUUGGGACUGAGAGACGGACCAGACGGCAACGGGACGCAGCAGGGGGGAGUCUUGCACAAUGGGCGGAAGCCUGAUGCAGAAACGCCGCGUGCGGGAUGACGGCCUUCGGGUUGUAAACAGCUUUCGACUGUGACGAAGCGUGAGUGACGGUAAUGAGUAAAGAAGCACCGGCUAACUACGUG